AGUGAACGCUGGCGGUAGGCCUAACACAUGCAAGUCGAACGGCAGCACAGUAAGAGCUUGCUCUUACGGGUUGCGAGUGGCGGACGGGUGAGGAAUACAUCGGAAUCUACUUUUUCGUGGGGGAUAACGUAGGGAAACUUACGCUAAUACCGCAUACGACCUACGGGUGAAAGCAGGGGAUCUUCGGACCUUGCGCGAUUGAAUGAGCCGAUGUCGGAUUAGCUAGUUGGCGGGGUAAAGGCCCACCAAGGCGACGAUCCGUAGCUGGUCUGAGAGGAUGAUCAGCAAAACUGGAACUGAGACACGGUACAGACUCCUACGGGAGGAAGCAGUGGGGAAUAUUGGACAAUGGGCGCAAGCCUGAUCCAGCCAUACCGCGUGGGUGAAGAAGGCCUUCGGGUUGUAAAGCCCUUUUGUUGGGAAAGAAAAGCAGCAGGUUAAUACCCCGCUGUUCUGACGGUACCCAAAGAAUAAGCACCGGCUAACUUCGUG
This 492-nucleotide ribosomal RNA is filed under the name uncultured bacterium. Its description in RNAcentral is "partial 16S ribosomal RNA". It matches the Rfam family "Bacterial small subunit ribosomal RNA", at positions 29 to 507 of the family's 1533-position model. The record is from RNAcentral.